RNAcentral lists this ribosomal RNA (503 nucleotides) under uncultured bacterium. RNAcentral describes it as "partial 16S ribosomal RNA". It matches the Rfam family "Bacterial small subunit ribosomal RNA", at positions 30 to 523 of the family's 1533-position model. The record is from RNAcentral.
AUCGAACGCUGGCGGCAGGCUUAACACAUGCAAGUCGAGCGGGGUGAUGGUGCUUGCACUAUCACUUAGAGGCGGACGGGUGAGUAAUGCUUAGGAAUCUGCCUAUUAGUGGGGGACAACAUCUCGAAAGGGAUGCUAAUACCGCAUACGUCCUACGGGAGAAAGCAGGGGGUCACUUGUGACCUUGCGCUACUAGAUGAGCCUAUGUCGGAUGAGCAAGUUGGUGGGGUAAAGGCCUAACAAGGCGCCGAUCUGUAGCGGCUCUGAGGGGAUGAUCCGCCACACUGGGACUGAUACACGGCCCAGACUCCUACGUGAGGCAGCAGUGGGGAAUAUUGGAAAAUGGGGGGAACCCUGAUCCAGCCAUGCCGCGUGUGUGAAGAAGGCCUUAUGGUUGUAAAGCACUUUAAGCGAGGAGGAGGCUCUUUUGGUUAAUACCCAAGAUGAGUGGACGUUACUCGCAGAAUAAGCACCGGCUAACUCUGUGCCAGCAGCCGCGGUAA